CACGAAUGGCGUAACGAUGGCCACGCUGUCUCCACCCGAGACUCAGUGAAAUUGAAAUCGCCGUGAAGAUGCAGUGUACCCGCGGCUAGACGGAAAGACCCCGUGAACCUUUACUACAGCUUGGCACUGAACAUUGACCCUACAUGUGUAGGAUAGGUGGGAGGCUUUGAAACCAGCACGCCAGUGUUGGUGGAGCCGUCCUUGAAAUACCACCCUUGUAGUGUUGAUGUUCUAACGUCGACCCCUUAUCGGGGUUACGGACAGUGCC
This 268-nucleotide ribosomal RNA is filed under the name Curtobacterium sp. MCBA15_009. Its description in RNAcentral is "partial 23S ribosomal RNA". It matches the Rfam family "Bacterial large subunit ribosomal RNA", at positions 1991 to 2258 of the family's 2925-position model. The record is from RNAcentral. Lineage: Bacteria; Bacillati; Actinomycetota; Actinomycetes; Micrococcales; Microbacteriaceae.